Molecule: microRNA, 21 nt
Filed under: Ananas comosus (pineapple)
Lineage: Eukaryota; Viridiplantae; Streptophyta; Magnoliopsida; Poales; Bromeliaceae
Description: microRNA 319g
Source: RNAcentral
UUGGACUGAAGGGCGCUCCCA